GACAGAGGGGGCAAGCGUUGCUCGGAAUUACUGGGCGUAAAGCGCGUGUAGGCGGCAACGCAAGUCGGGCGUGAAAUCCCACGGCUCAACCGUGGAAGUGCACUCGAAACUGCGUAGCUAGAGUCCUGGAGAGGAAGGUGGAAUGCUUGGUGUAGAGGUGAAAUUCGUAGAUAUCAAGCAGAACACCUGUGGCGAAGGCGGCCUUCUGGACGAUGACUGACGCUGAGACGCGAAAGCGUGGGGAGCAAACAGG
This 253-nucleotide ribosomal RNA is filed under the name uncultured bacterium. RNAcentral describes it as "partial 16S ribosomal RNA". It matches the Rfam family "Bacterial small subunit ribosomal RNA", at positions 524 to 776 of the family's 1533-position model. The record is from RNAcentral.